Molecule: long non-coding RNA, 478 nt
Filed under: Monodelphis domestica (gray short-tailed opossum)
Lineage: Eukaryota; Metazoa; Chordata; Mammalia; Didelphimorphia; Didelphidae
Description: lncRNA (ENSMODG00000034804.2)
Source: RNAcentral
AGUUUGUACUAAAUCAAAAUUUAAAAAUAAUCAUCAAAAAAAAAGAACAGUAAGAUUCUGUGUUGUCUUUAUAUUUAGUCAAUUGUUUGAUGGAAAAGUAAGAUCUACUAUGGAAUACUGCUUACAACAACCCGCCUGUUCCCUACCAAUGCUCCUAUUGAAGAUACCUUUCAUGCAUCAUUUCCAGGACAAUUCAUAGAAUGGAAGAUUAACUCAGAGAAGAGAUUCUUGUCCUGGUCUCCUCCAGCUGCAUCAUUCAUAGGAAAAAAGAAAAACCCAAGCCAAAAGCAAAACAAAACCCUUUGGGCAAAUAUGAAAAGUCAAGCAAAAUAAAUUCUCACAUUGGUCAUGUUCAAAAAGGUAUGUCUCAUUCAGCAUCUUGAAUCCUUUACUAUUGUGUCAUGAGGGUUCAUUAUUGGUCCUCUGGAAUAAUUAUUAUAAUAAUAAAACUAACUAACCUAGAGGGGGCUUUUAGGUU